GACGAACGCUGGCGGCGUGCCUAAUACAUGCGAGUCGAACGAGAGCGACCGGUGCUUGCACUGGUCAAUCUAGUGGCGAACGGGUGAGUAACACGUGGGUAACCUGCCCAUCAGAGGGGGAUAACAUCCGGAAACGGAUGCUAAAACCGCAUAGGUCUUCGAACCGCAUGGUUUGAAGAGGAAAAGAGGCGCAAGCUUCUGCUGAUGGAUGGACCCGCGGUGCAUUAGCUAGUUGGUGAGGUAACGGCUCACCAAGGCCGUGAUGCAUAGCCGACCUGAGAGGGUGAUCGGCCACAUUGGGACUGAGACACGGCCCAAACUCCUACGGGAGGCAGCAGUAGGGAAUCUUCCGCAAUGGACGCAAGUCUGACGGAGCAACGCCGCGUGAGUGAAGAAGGUUUUCGGAUCGUAAAACUCUGUUGUUAGAGAAGAACAAGUGCUAGAGUAACUGUUAGCGCCUUGACGGUAGCUAACCAGAAAGCCACGGCUAACUACGUG
This 498-nucleotide ribosomal RNA is filed under the name uncultured bacterium. Its description in RNAcentral is "partial 16S ribosomal RNA". It matches the Rfam family "Bacterial small subunit ribosomal RNA", at positions 28 to 507 of the family's 1533-position model. The record is from RNAcentral.